AAACGAAAAUGGAGAAGGAAAAAGGAGGGAGAGAGAACGAUGGUGAAGAAGAGUUUGAAGAAAUUUGUUUUAAAAGCAGCGGUACGGAGUUAUGGAUUCAUAGUUUGGUUGUAUCUGAGUUUCAAAGAGAGAAUGGACCAACUUCUACCAACCAUAGUCGUUAAGAAAUUGCAUAUCAUCUGUAGUUACAUUAUGAAUAAUGUAUCUAGAAGAAAUUUAAGAAUAAGAAUGAUGCUAAAAGUUAGUGUAAAAGUCUAGAAGAUUUUCGCCUAUAGACUUUGCACCUAGUGGGGUCCAUGGUCGGCGUGGUCCGUUCUUGAACUAAUAGAUGUUCUGGGACGGGUCGUGUCAUUCAUGAAUUAAUGUUUGAAUUAAUGUUUAGGUUUACCCUUACAAUUUAAAACUUUAUUGUGUCUUACAAAAAUAAUCAAACCAAAAACUCCCAAUGCCCAAGAUUCGCAAGGCCACACGAUUGCGACCGCAGUCCGCAUUCACAAGGCCCAUACGCACAAGCCCAGAACCCGCCAGCACCCAGCCCCAAAUUGUAGCAAUUUCCUUCUCUCUCAUGUAUUAAUGAGACUCAUAACUUUUUGUUUGAUUGUUUUACACUUUGUUUUAGUACAACAUGUGGGGGUGGGGGACUGAACUCACAACUUUAUGGUUGGAGCCAAUUACCGCUGAGCUAUGCUCGCUUUUGCUUGUUU
Molecule: non-coding RNA, 704 nt
Organism: Momordica charantia (bitter melon)
Lineage: Eukaryota; Viridiplantae; Streptophyta; Magnoliopsida; Cucurbitales; Cucurbitaceae
Source: RefSeq, a predicted model, not a curated record